GGCCGCUUAGCUCAAUGGUAGAGUGUUGCUCUCCUAAAGCAUUGGUUGCGGGUUCGAGUCCCGUGGUGGUCG
This 72-nucleotide transfer RNA is filed under the name Aspergillus ruber CBS 135680. RNAcentral describes it as "tRNA-Arg (CCT) (tRNA-Arg-CCT-2-1)". It matches the Rfam family "tRNA". Rfam says of the family: Transfer RNA (tRNA) molecules are approximately 80 nucleotides in length. Their secondary structure includes four short double-helical elements and three loops (D, anti-codon, and T loops). Lineage: Eukaryota; Fungi; Ascomycota; Eurotiomycetes; Eurotiales; Aspergillaceae. The record is from RNAcentral.